Molecule: ribosomal RNA, 252 nt
Filed under: uncultured bacterium
Lineage: Bacteria
Description: partial 16S ribosomal RNA
Rfam family: Bacterial small subunit ribosomal RNA
Source: RNAcentral
CGGAGGGUGCAAGCGUUAUCCGGAUUCACUGGGUUUAAAGGGUGCGUAGGAGGGUUGGUAAGUCAGUGGUGAAAUCUCCGAGCUUAACUUGGAACUGCCGUUGAUACUAUCAAUCUUGAAUAUCGUGGAGGUGAGCGGAAUAUGUCAUGUAGCGGUGAAAUGCUUAGAUAUGACAUAGAACACCAAUUGCGAAGGCAGCUCGCUACACGAAUAUUGACUCUGAGGCACGAAAGCGUGGGAUCAAACAGGAUU